GGAGAGAUGCCAGAGUGGUUGAAUGGGGCGGUCUCGAAAACCGUUGUGUCUCAUUGAGAUACCCAGGGUUCGAAUCCCUGUCUCUCCG
Molecule: transfer RNA, 88 nt
Filed under: Ignavibacteriaceae bacterium
Lineage: Bacteria; Pseudomonadati; Ignavibacteriota; Ignavibacteria; Ignavibacteriales; Ignavibacteriaceae
Description: tRNA-Ser
Rfam family: tRNA
About the family: Transfer RNA (tRNA) molecules are approximately 80 nucleotides in length. Their secondary structure includes four short double-helical elements and three loops (D, anti-codon, and T loops). Further hydrogen bonds mediate the characteristic L-shaped molecular structure. tRNAs have two regions of fundamental functional importance: the anti-codon, which is responsible for specific mRNA codon recognition, and the 3' end, to which the tRNAs corresponding amino acid is attached (by aminoacyl-tRNA synthetases). tRNAs cope with the degeneracy of the genetic code in two manners: having more than one tRNA (with a specific anti-codon) for a particular amino acid; and 'wobble' base-pairing, i.e. permitting non-standard base-pairing at the 3rd anti-codon position.
Source: RNAcentral